RNAcentral lists this long non-coding RNA (215 nucleotides) under Anas platyrhynchos platyrhynchos (common mallard). Its description in RNAcentral is "lncRNA (ENSAPLG00000029623.1)". The record is from RNAcentral. Lineage: Eukaryota; Metazoa; Chordata; Aves; Anseriformes; Anatidae.
GAGGUGCAAUUGUGCUCAUUUUUACCUCUUCCAGGAGUGCUGAUGGUGGUGGCCAGAGCAACCAUCUCUUCAUCUCUUCACUCACUGGCUCUUCUGCCCUGGAAAGGUACCAGCUGGUGACAUUUAUCCAUGCACAAGGACAUCAUUGGAGAUUUCUGUCCAGGUGUGGUUGCAGGGAUGGAAAGAAGAAGGGAUUAGAGAAGUUUUUUUUGAAA